UGCGUGAAUUAAUGUGAAUUGCAGGACACAUUGAACAUCGAUAUCUUGAACGCAUAUUGCGGCCUCGGGUAGUCCCGAGGCCACGCCUGUCUCAGGGUCGGUUACAAGUCAAUCGCGAAGCCGCUCUCCGCUCGCGCAUUGGGCGUCACAGUUGGCCGAAGCCGGUCUCGCGAUCGGUCACGUCGACUCUGUCGCCUCAAGUCCAGACGGGUUGCCCGGCCGCUAACGUUGGCUCGGGGCGGUGACUCGACUCUCGAAGAGCUUUCCGCAUCUCCCGCAGUCCGUUGGCGGCGUAGUCGACAGCCGAACAUUUCUUAAACGACUUCGACCUGAGAUCAGACGAGAUUACCCGCUGAAUUUAA
RNAcentral lists this ribosomal RNA (362 nucleotides) under Lumbricillus tuba. Its description in RNAcentral is "eukaryotic LSU rRNA". The stretch from base 1 to 100 matches the Rfam family "5.8S ribosomal RNA", at positions 54 to 154 of the family's 154-position model. The record is from RNAcentral. Lineage: Eukaryota; Metazoa; Annelida; Clitellata; Enchytraeida; Enchytraeidae.